GGGGGGGGGGAGAGAAUAAGCCGGUCGAUAAAAUUAAAUUGUCCGAAGUCGGAAGACAGCAUAUUCCAGGUCCUCAUCCGCAGCUGUUUAACGUCUCUACAAUUGCAACAAAACAUGUCCCUCUACAACCACAGCAGGCACUGCAAGCAUCCAGCAGGCCAAAGGUGCACUCCUCCAUUGCCUCCCGAGACAGACGACAACAAUAUAACAGCCACUAGCCAACUGCCAACGACCUUCAGUGGAAGAGAGCACGUGAAGAAAGGCCUCAGAUUAUGAUCACAGGCUGUGAUCGUAUGCACACCCACCUGAGGAGCAAGUAUAUCUGAAUUACACAGACUUACUUUGAAUAAAUAUGCAUCAGAUUGGCCUGUACGGCUCACAACGCUGGUCUAUUAAUUUCACCUCAAGCAAAGAGCAUGAUGUGUUGCACAAGUCUGUGGUUAAUCAAAUCCAGUGGAAGAACAUCAGCAACGUCUGUUCUGGCACGGUGUUUAGGGUGUGCCUAACUUAGGGGUGAUCUGUGUUAGCAGCACAUCCAAUCCAUGCAGUACACACAGACAGAGUGCCUCAGCACCCAAUCAUCUCCAGCCACUCCAUGUGAUUGCACCGUAUGCCCUAAAUACAGCAAGUAUCCCAGAAACAGGGACGUGGGUUUUCUCGAGAUGCUACCUGCCUAUCCAGUUUCCAACUACUACAGGCUGUAGAAAGAACAGUCUGAGGCAUCUAAAGAAACUGACGUGGCUGCAGAAUAAUAAGAAACAUGCAGAUGAGCUGAGAUUUUAGAAGGGCCCGUAUAAGAAAUGGAAUAAAGGAGAAAUCAGGAAGAAAGAGUAUAUACAAGUAGCCAACAAUUGCAGCGAGAAGGUCAGGCAGGUCAAAGGACAUAUAACACGUCCAAUUCCUGCUCAGCUUGCUACUAUACCAUUGUCAGACCCCCCAAGUGUCCCUAUUUUUCAGGGACAGCCCCGAAUUUACAGAAGCUAUCCCAGUUUCUGAUUUGAUCCCGAAAUGUCCCGCUUUUCCUUAGGGCGUCCCUAUUUUCAUCGGACAAAUGUUGGAGGGUAUGCGUUGUAACUAGGCGCAAACCACACCCAGCGAAAGGGUGGUGCCUCAGGAUACUUACCAUAAGAGACAAUGGCCUGGGCCUCAUCCCAGAAAACCAGAUCCUCACUCCACAUGCCGGAUGCACCCACGCCAUUUUGGGUAUGCACUCUGAAUUUGGAGUGAUUGGCAGCCAAUCAGAAUAUAACCCCCUGCCUGCAGCAGAGUCAGGUAGGGGAUGCCCCUCACGGUGCGACACCCAGCCUCACGCACCUCUCAUGUGGGAGAGUUUUAGCUCAGGAGGGAGUCUCCCAGAAUGGGGCAGCACAGUAGAAGUGUGCAUGGUACUUUGAAGAGCACUCAGACCAGGGCUGGUUCAAGACAUUUUGCUGCCUGAGGCAACGGAGAAGAUGGUGCCCUCCUCCAACACACAUACAGAAGAUGAAAUGACAGUAUCCUUCACUGCACUUCGAGGGUAGCAGGCUAGUGUAGGGGGUACAGGGAGGCCUUGUGGCACUUAUAGCUCUGUCUACUCCCCUCUGCUCAGCAUCUGCCACCUAAGGCACCUACCUGACUGCCUCAUCAUAGGGCCGGCCCUGAACCAAAUAAUGAGCCAGCUCUCAGUUCAUGUCUGCUUCCAGUCUGAUAUAAAUGCAUGAUGAAAUC
This is a non-coding RNA of Podarcis muralis (Common wall lizard), 1707 nucleotides long. The record is from RefSeq and is a predicted model, not a curated record. NCBI's taxonomy places the organism in Eukaryota, Metazoa, Chordata, Lepidosauria, Squamata, Lacertidae.